GAAUCGCUAGUAAUCGCAGAUCAGAAUGCUGCGGUGAAUACGUUCCCGGGUCUUGUACACACCGCCCGUCACACCAUGGGAGUCGGAUAUGCCCGAAGCCAGUGACCCAACCGUAAGGAGGGAGCUGUCGAAGGUGGAGCCGAUAACUGGGGUGAAGUCGUAACAAGGUAAC
RNAcentral lists this ribosomal RNA (172 nucleotides) under uncultured bacterium. RNAcentral's name for it is "partial 16S ribosomal RNA". It matches the Rfam family "Bacterial small subunit ribosomal RNA", at positions 1329 to 1500 of the family's 1533-position model. The record is from RNAcentral.